GUAUCAUAUCUCCUCAAGACUUUUCAAGAAAACGCUACAGGUGUACAACAACUCUUAGUCAAUCGGACGUAAUGGAUCACGUGGUCAGAAGAGUCGUUGCCCAGGAAAUGAUGCUUCGUCGGAAUGGAAACUUUAGUGCGGCCCACCACAACAGAGACACCAUGUGAGUGUGUGUAAACAGCACGAUGCCUUCUCAAAACCUCACAUUGAGUGCGGUCACACGCUCACCUCUAAGUUUUCCAUCCACAAGAUGUCAGACCAGUAUUUUGUCACCGGAUGUUUUUCAAGGUUGUAUCGGGGGGUCCUAAUUGUCUGGCCUAAAUAUAUGAUAGAGAUGGUACCCCCACCCUGAGUCUCUCUGAGCCAUCAAUUCUAGAUGCCCUGAUCAACCUGACCAUCAUCCCGUUCCCAUCAUCCCUGACCAUCAUCCUGUUCUACUCUUCCCCAACACUCUGUUCAACUAAAAGUUUCAUAGCUUGUUUGGGGGUGGUCCUAGCUAGUGAAAUACUCUUUGUUGAAAGCACGUACACACACAUGCACUCCUGCAGGAAGAGUGGGUGUCUGGGAGCAGCUGCAUGGGAGAGAUGUCGAAUGUGGUUUCCUCCCGAUGAACCUAUCCUCCCUAUGUCUUAUCAGUCAAACAGAGAGGUAAAUAUGUAGUAAAAGUAACCAGGUUGGUAACAUUCAUUAGUGAGAUCUCUGCCUGAGAAAUAAACAUUUUGCGAGAAUAAUUAUCAUUACAAAUCACAUUGUUUUACUUGAUAUAUAAUUAACAUUCAUC
Long non-coding RNA from Cyprinus carpio carpio, 781 nucleotides. The record is from Ensembl. Lineage: Eukaryota; Metazoa; Chordata; Actinopteri; Cypriniformes; Cyprinidae.